Molecule: ribosomal RNA, 807 nt
Filed under: Triticum aestivum (bread wheat)
Lineage: Eukaryota; Viridiplantae; Streptophyta; Magnoliopsida; Poales; Poaceae
Description: partial small subunit ribosomal RNA
Source: RNAcentral
AUGGCUAGCAACGAUGAAGGACAGGGUUCUGGUGAUUGCGACGAUGUCUACCGGGUGGCAGACGAAUUUUUUAGCCUUGCCGACGAUCAACCAAUGUUGUUGCUGGGCCCACCGGUGGCAUCGAGGACUGAGACCGACACACAGACCGGUGCUGAGACUGAGACCGGUGCUGAGACUCAGACCGGCAUCGAGACCGGCGCUGAGACUGAGACCGGCGCUGCCUCGGGGAGCGGAGCCGGUGUAGAACCGAAAGCAAAGAGGCAACGGCUUCCUAACAAACUCAGGACUACUAGACUGGUGGUCACGGAGGUGGACGACGGCAAUUUUGAGCCAAAGGCGCCCGAGGAAGCGCGUCGAUGCUACGACAAUCAAAUAGGCUGCAUCGUACGGACAACCGCCACCAUCAACGACGAGAAACUACAGAAGAUAGAAAAUAUGAGGAGCUCCCUCCUAAAGAAGUUUCACCAGAUAUUCUUGUUCCCGGGCCGGAAUGAGAAGGAUUAUGAAGAUCCAGAUGAGGACCCGGCAAUGAAGAAGAUAAACAAACACGCCAUGACCAAGUUUAGCGACGCGUUGGCCGUCUGGAAAAAUCAAGUGAAAGCAAAGAUCAUCGACAAGAAGGAACCCUACUCUGAGAUUGUAAAGGAUAAUCCGACAAUCACGGAAGAGCAGUUUCAAAUAUUUAAGGAGGCUUGCGAGGCCGAAGCUGCCAGAAAAAAGUCUAAGUACAUGAAGGGGCUUCAAGAGAGGAACAUUGGGAGCCACCACCUCGGAAGCCGUGGUUACGGCGGAAAAAGGUCCAAAUGA